UGGGGAAUCUUGGACAAUGGGGGCAACCCUGAUCCAGCCAUGCCGCGUGAGUGAUGAAGGCCUUAGGGUCGUAAAGCUCUUUCGCCUGUGAAGAUAAUGACGGUAGCAGGUAAAGAAACCCCGGCUAACUCCGUGCCAGCAGCCGCGGUAAUACGGAGGGGGUUAGCGUUGUUCGGAAUUACUGGGCGUAAAGCGCACGUAGGCGGACCAGAAAGUUGGGGGUGAAAUCCCGGGGGCUCAACCCCGGAACUGCCUCCAAAACUAUUGGUCUAGAGUUCGAGAGAGGUGAGUGGAAUUCCAAGUGUAGAGGUGAAAUUCGUAGAUAUCUGAAGGAAUACCGGUGGCGAAGGCGGCCCCUGGACAAAGACUGACGCUCAGGCACGAAAGCGUGGGGAGCAAACAGGAUUAGAUACCCUGGUAGUCCACACCGUAAACGAUGAAUGCCAGUCGUCGGGUAGCAUGCUAUUCGGUGACACACCUAACGGAUUAAGCAUUCCGCCUGGGGAGUACGGUCGC
RNAcentral lists this ribosomal RNA (516 nucleotides) under uncultured bacterium. RNAcentral describes it as "bacterial SSU rRNA". It matches the Rfam family "Bacterial small subunit ribosomal RNA", at positions 355 to 889 of the family's 1533-position model. The record is from RNAcentral.